Long non-coding RNA from Dipodomys spectabilis (banner-tailed kangaroo rat), 113 nucleotides. RefSeq lists it as uncharacterized. The transcript has 3 exons. The record is from RefSeq and is a predicted model, not a curated record. NCBI's taxonomy places the organism in Eukaryota, Metazoa, Chordata, Mammalia, Rodentia, Heteromyidae.
UUCUAUCCAUGACUGCCUGUUUUUGGUGUCAUUGCCACCAAUGAACACAGAAACAGCCUAGAAACCUACUUACUAUCCAACUAGGAAAAAAGCGAAAUGACAUUAUUUCUUUA